GGGGCUAUAGCUCAGUCGGUUAGAGCGCAUCCCUGAUAAGGAUGAGGUCGCAAGUUCGAUUCUUGCUAGCCCCACCA
This 77-nucleotide transfer RNA is filed under the name bacterium. Its description in RNAcentral is "tRNA-Ile". It matches the Rfam family "tRNA". Rfam says of the family: Transfer RNA (tRNA) molecules are approximately 80 nucleotides in length. The record is from RNAcentral. RNAcentral also lists the same sequence under 9 other names.